RNAcentral lists this ribosomal RNA (253 nucleotides) under uncultured bacterium. RNAcentral describes it as "partial 16S ribosomal RNA". It matches the Rfam family "Bacterial small subunit ribosomal RNA", at positions 524 to 776 of the family's 1533-position model. The record is from RNAcentral.
UACGGGGGGAGCAAGCGUUGUUCGGAUUUACUGGGCGUAAAGGGCGCGUAGGCGGCGCAACAAGUCACUUGUGAAAUCUCCGGGCUUAACCCGGAGCGGCCAAGUGAUACUGUCGUGCUAGAGUGCGGAAGGGGCUACUGGAAUUCUCGGUGUAGCGGUGAAAUGCGUAGAUAUCGUAAGGAAGACCAGUGGCGAAGGCGGGUCUCUGGACAGUUCCUGACGCUGAGGCACGAAGGUCAGGGGAGCAAACGGG